CACCGCCUGGGGAGUACGACCGCAAGGUUAAAACUCAAAUGAAUUGACGGGGACCCGCACAAGUAGUGGAGCAUGUGGUUUAAUUCGAAGAUACGCGCAGAACCUUACCAACACUUGACAUGUUCGUCGCGACUUUAAGAGAUUAAAGUUUUCGGUUCGGCCGGACGAAACACAGGUGCUGCAUGGCUGUCGUCAGCUCGUGUCGUGAGAUGUUGGGUUAAGUCCCGCAACGAGCGCAACCCUCACUUUUAGUUGCCAUCAUUAAGUUGGGCACUCUGAAAGAACUGCCAGUGAUAAGCUGGAGGAAGGUGGGGAUGACGUCAAGUCCUCAUGGCCCUUACGUGUUGGGCUACACACGUGCUACAAUGGUAUUUACAACAGGAAGCAAGACGGCGACGUUAAGCAAAUCCUUAAAAAAUACCUCAGUUCGGAUUGCACUCUGCAACUCGAGUGCAUGAAGCUGGAAUUACUAGUAAUCGUGGAUCAGCGUGCCACGGUGAAUGCGUUCCCGGGUCUUGUACACACCGCCCGUCACACCAUGGGAGUUGGUUCUACCUUAAGGCAAGGUUUUAAACCCUUGACCACGGUAUAGUCAGCGACUGGGGUGAAGUCGUAACAAGGUAGCCGUAGGGGAACCUGCGGCUGGAUUACCUCCUUUCUAAGGAUGAAUGAAAUUUUAAUUUCAUUCUAAAAAAUAUACAGGUUAAUGUUGACCGUCCUCAUUUCUCUUCUUAAGUUAGUGUUUCUCUUGCAUGGGGGCCGGUAGCUCAGUUGGUUAGAGCACACCCUUGAUAAGGGUGGGGUCGAAAGUUCGAGUCUUUCUCGGCCCACCAAUUUAAAGAUCAUGGGGGAUUAGCUCAGCUGGGAGAGCGCCUGAUUUGCAUUCAGGAGGUCAGCGGUUCGAUCCCGCUAUCCUCCACCAAAACACUUAGUUAUAAAAAUUGUGAAUAAAAUAAUAAUUAAUAUCAAUAUCUAUAUCCGAACAUUAGUAAUGUUAUUAGCUAAUGUUCAAAUAAAAAUUUGAUUCAACACAGAAUUUUUUUCUG
RNAcentral lists this small RNA (1046 nucleotides) under uncultured Pelagibacterales bacterium. Its description in RNAcentral is "bacterial SSU rRNA". The stretch from base 1 to 658 matches the Rfam family "Bacterial small subunit ribosomal RNA", at positions 867 to 1533 of the family's 1533-position model. The record is from RNAcentral. Lineage: Bacteria; Pseudomonadati; Pseudomonadota; Alphaproteobacteria; Candidatus Pelagibacterales.